AACGAACGCUGGCGGCGUGCCUAACACAUGCAAGUCGAGCGAGAAAAGGGGGAGCAAUCCCCUGAGUACAGCGGCGCACGGGUGAGUAACACGUAGGUGAUCUCCCCUCGAGCCCGGAACUAACCUACCGAAAGGUAGGGCUAAUACCGGAUAUGACCACGGGAGUUUCGGCUCCUGCGGUGAAAGAUGGCCUCUACCUGUAAGCUAUCACUCAAGGAUGAGCCUGCGNGCCAUUAGCUAGUUGGUGAGGUAACGGCUCACCAAGGCGAUGAUGGCUAGCUGGUCUGAGAGGAUGGCCAGCCACACUGGGACU
Molecule: ribosomal RNA, 313 nt
Filed under: uncultured bacterium
Lineage: Bacteria
Description: bacterial SSU rRNA
Rfam family: Bacterial small subunit ribosomal RNA
Source: RNAcentral